CGUGUAGGCGGCCAAACAGGUCCGUUGUGAAAACUGGAGGCUCAACUUCCAGACGUCGACGGAAACCGUAUGGCUAGAGUCCGGAAGAGGAGAGUGGAAUUCCUGGUGUAGCGGUGAAAUGCGCAGAUAUCAGGAAGAACACCAAUGGCGAAGGCAGCUCUCUGGGACGGUACUGACGCUGAGACGCGAAAGCGUGGGAGCGAACA
This 206-nucleotide ribosomal RNA is filed under the name uncultured bacterium. Its description in RNAcentral is "partial 16S ribosomal RNA". It matches the Rfam family "Bacterial small subunit ribosomal RNA", at positions 568 to 774 of the family's 1533-position model. The record is from RNAcentral.